Long non-coding RNA from Pongo pygmaeus (Bornean orangutan), 307 nucleotides. RefSeq lists it as uncharacterized. The transcript is spliced from 3 exons. Lineage: Eukaryota; Metazoa; Chordata; Mammalia; Primates; Hominidae. The record is from RefSeq and is a predicted model, not a curated record.
AGAGAAUGUGCAGAAAGGAGAUUUUUUUUGGCCACAGAGUUUUUGCUAAAAGCAGCUAGCAAGCCCCACGGCUCCAGUGUGCGUGAACUCCUGGUAAUUUCCUUGGGGAAUCCCGCCUCAGAGAACCUCUACCCCGAGAAUUAGGAGGAAGCUGAGCUAGGCUGACUUGAGGAAAGAGACCUGGAGGAGGAGGAUGGAGUUUCACUUACAUCCAGGCUCGAGUGCAGUGGUGUGAUCUUGGCUCACUGGAACCUCUACCUCCUGGGUUCAAGCGAUUCUCGUGCUUCAGCCUCCCGGGUAGCUGGGA